UAAGAAGAAGGGCCAUCGCUCAGUGGCAGAUCACCAGCUUUGCAGAAGACGCCAGGCUCAGACCCCAGCAUCACCAGGUAGGGCUGGGAUAGAACCUAGUCUGGAAUCCUGGAGAGCUGGUGCCAGUCAGUGUAAGCAAUGCUAAGCUUGAUGGACCAGUGGUCUGUCUCAGUAUAAGACAACUUGCUACGCUCCUAAGAACAUAAAGGAGAAGUUCAUUACAUGGUGACCUAGAACACAGCCUUCUCCAUGGUGAAGUCGCAUCUAUUGAAUACCCUCCUCUUUCACCAAUCUUCCCCAACCACAACGAUCGAGAGGAUGGAGUGACACCCCUAUGAGGAAAAGUUGCAGCAUUUGGGGCUUGUUAGUUUAGACAAAAGAACCAAAACAAUACAAAAAGAAAACAACACAAAUCAAUAACUAGUACAAUACAAAAAGAAAAAAAAUUUGGAGACAAAUAUUACAGUUUGGAAUUCAGCGCUGUCCCUGAAGGAAUUGAAGAGAUUGGAGAUAAAGAUAUUAUCGGUUCAAAAAAAUUCCUGGACUGGAAGGAUUUGAUUGAACUUGAAAUGGAGAAAGUUAACAGAAUUAAUCCCUGUUUUGUGUCAAUGGAAAAACCUUCAAGAGAUGUACUAGUGUAUCAUGUGGAAAAGAGGAACAGAGAUGCGGCUUUGCAACAAUACUUCAGUGAUACGUUUGGAUUUGAUGGCAAGAAAAUAUCUGUGAUGGAGGAAAUUCCUAUCAGACUUUUAUUAUAUGACUAUGACAGCAAGAUUUUUGGGUGCGUAAAGAUGGAAGAUGGAAGAUGGUCCCAAUAUGGAUAAUGACAGAAGAGCGAUUUAAAAUUACUGGACUUAGUAGAUUUGAUGAGUUGGAUUAAUUGAUAUGUUUAUUUAGUAAAAAAAUUGAUUGAUAUACAUCUCAAGGAUUGGAAACUUCUCUUUGACUUUUUGUGGAAGAUUAAAAUGAUAGGAUGUUAAUGAGAUUUGAAACCAACUAAGAUAACCGCUGGAGGAAGGUGAUUUUAUAAUCUAUUAAGAGAUAGGUUUGUUAUAUAUUAUAGAUUUAUAGCUGAAUUAUAGCGAUUUGAAAUUACUGGACUUAGUAGAUUUGAGGAGUUGGAUUAAUUGGCAUGUUUCUUUAGAAAAAAAAUUGAUUGACAUGUAUCUCAAGGAUUGGAAACUUCUCUUUGACUUUUUGUGGAAGAUUAAAAUGAUAUGAUGUUAAUGAGAUUUGAAACCAACUAAGAUAACCGCUGGAGGAAGGUGAUUUUAUAAUCUAUUAAGAGAUAGGUUUGUUAUAUAUUAUAGAUUUAUAGCUGAACUAUGACAAAUCGGAAGUCAAUAUUCUUUCUUUUUUUAUAGGAGUCCGAUGCAUUUUUAAUCACUGAGAGAUGAACAACAACCUCCCUUGGUGGCAAGGACAGAAAUACUUUCUGCCCAAGAAGAGCUCAUAGGUUCAUGACUUCUUCUUCCAGUCAAUCUAUUCCAUUUCUGAUCUAACUUGCAACCACAGCAGAUAUAUUCAUGCUGGGUCAGCAAUAUCAAUUUCCCCCUUUCGGCAAAGCAGCACUCACAAAACAUUGUUGAGCCAUCAUGUUAGUUAAUUUACAGUACUAAUUAAAGUCGGUUGGACAGUGUUUUCAGUCAGGUGGCAAUAUUUGUUGUGGCUUUGUUGGCGAGGAUAUUUGCCUUGCCCAGAUCAACUCCCAGACAGGAUGCACCAGACAAUGAGUUAGGAAAACAAGAGGGAGAGACAGGAAGUCCAGGCCCAUUGAUUGCUGACCAGCUGAUAUAUUUUACCGAAACUUCCUUGCAGUAUGGAAACAAAGGCCGUAUCCGCACCUCACAAUUAAAUCAGUGUCAUAUUAAAGGUACAAAAUAAUAAUAAGAAAUAAUAUGUCACAACUACCAAUAAUAACAAUAAGCCACCAUCAGUUGACCUUGUGGAUACAAUAACCAUCAGUACGUGCACCUUGCGUUGUUGUUGUUGUUGUUGUUGUUAUGUGCCUUCAAGUCGGUUACAACUUAUGGUGACCCUAUGAAUCAGCGACCUCCAAGAGCAUCUGUCGUGAACCACCCUGCUCAGAUCUUGUAAGUUCAGGUCUGUGGCUUCCUUUAUGGAAUCAAUCCAUCUCUUGAUUGAGUUAAGCAUAUAAAAUAAUAUAAGCCCUCCAGAUGUCCAAAUAGGUGUCCGCUCAAAACUGAUGUCUACAUGAAAUACGUUUUCAAAAAAGCAUGCUGGUAUUAUAAUUUUUGAGUUGAGAAAUGUGUUCAAACGUUCUGUGAAGUGAAAAAAUCAGAAGCAUAAUUACACUCUGAUCCGUGUAUGAGUUUGGGGGGGGUGCGCGCAUUAGGGCAGUUCACUUAGAAAUGCAGAGUGGCAAUGUAAGAACAUAAGAAAAGCCUGCCAGAUCAGGCCAAUGGCUGAUGUAAUCCAGCAUCCUGUUCUCACAGUGGCCAAUCAGUUGCCCAUGGGAAGCCCACAAGCAGGUCCUGAGUGCAAGAGGACUCUCCCAUCCUGUGGUUUUCAGCAACUGAUAUUUGGAUGCAUACAGCCUCUGACUAUGGAGGCAGAGCAUAGCUACUGUAAUAGCUAUGGAUAGCCCUCUUCGCCAUGAAUUUGUCUAAUCCUCUUUGAAAGCCAUCCAGGUUGGUGGCCAUCACUGCCUCUUGUGGUGGCAAAUUCCAGUUUUUUCUUUUAUCUGUUCCUGAAUUUUCCACCAUUCAGCUUCAUUGGAUGUGCACGAAUUCUAGCAUUAUGAGAAAAGGAGAAAAAAUUUCUGUAUCCACAUUCUCCAUGCCAUGCAUCCUUUUAUACACUUCUGUCAUAUCGCCUCUUACUCUCCUUUUCUCUAAACUAAGAAGCCCCAAAUGCUGCAAUCUUUCCUCAUAGGGGAGUCGCUCCAGCCCCUUGAUCCUUCUGGUUGCCCCGUUUUGCUUCUUCCCAAUCUCUAUGCCUAUGCUACGAUAACACACAUGGGCUAGGUUAGGUGUGCCGACAUAGCCAGAAAGGUAAACACCCAAUCUAUGAGAAAUGUCAUGCAAUAAUCUAUUCCAUGGGUUACUCAUUCCUGCCCUGAGCUAAUGCAUUGUUUCAAAACCCCCUCAUUCUGAAGAAAAUGUCUCAGGUGACUUGGAAACGUACCUCCCAGUGAGACAAGAUUGGCAACUUCAGCUAGGGUGUAACUUCCUUGGCUAUCUCGUGAAGGGUGGCUGGCCAAGGUUGCAAAUGAAUGACAUCAGCUUGCAAAGGAAAAAUGGGCCACCAGAAAUCACUUUGCCCAGCGAUGACUGACAAUGAUUAAUUUCUUGCAACCAAAACAGCUGUUGUGUUUGCUAAAUCUCUUCUGCUCCUGAGAUAACAUUCAUGCUUAACUGAAGAGGGCUGUUCCUGGCCACCUGGAGGUCACUAGAUGGAAGAUUAUUGUUAAGCUGUAAUUGUGUUUUAGACUAGAUGGAAGAUUAUUGUUAAACUGUAACUGUGUUUUAGAAUGUUAUCAAACUGUUUUUAGGAUGUUUCUUUUGUCUUUUUUGUUGUAGUUAAACUGUUUUGCUAUAUUUGCCAUCCUGGGCUC
Molecule: long non-coding RNA, 3577 nt
Organism: Rhineura floridana
Lineage: Eukaryota; Metazoa; Chordata; Lepidosauria; Squamata; Rhineuridae
Exons: 3
Source: RefSeq, a predicted model, not a curated record